Molecule: ribosomal RNA, 436 nt
Filed under: Listeria monocytogenes
Lineage: Bacteria; Bacillati; Bacillota; Bacilli; Caryophanales; Listeriaceae
Description: partial 23S ribosomal RNA
Rfam family: Bacterial large subunit ribosomal RNA
Source: RNAcentral
GACCGAUAGUGAACCAGUACCGUGAGGGAAAGGUGAAAAGCACCCCGGAAGGGGAGUGAAACAGUUCCUGAAACCGUGUGCCUACAAGUAGUUAGAGCCCGUUAAUGGGUGAUAGCGUGCCUUUUGUAGAAUGAACCGGCGAGUUACGAUUUGUUGCAAGGUUAAGCGGAAAAAGCGGAGCCGUAGCGAAAGCGAGUCUGAAUAGGGCGCAUAAGUAACAGGUCGUAGACCCGAAACCAGGUGAUCUACCCAUGUCCAGGAUGAAGGUAAGGUAAUACUUACUGGAGGUCCGAACCCACGCACGUUGAAAAGUGCGGGGAUGAGGUGUGGGUAGCGGAGAAAUUCCAAUCGAACUUGGAGAUAGCUGGUUCUCUCCGAAAUAGCUUUAGGGCUAGCCUCGAGGUAAAGAGUCAUGGAGGUAGAGCACUGUUUGGAC